GCAUGGGUCGGCUUGUUACGGGUUUGCUCGGAUUGGAACAAAACACGUGCUACCACACUGACACACACUUUGGGCUCAGGACAAAGCUCCUCCUGUGUUCUCUGCAUUACACUGCCAUCCCAACCCUCGGCGGGAGGUUGAACUGUCGUAUUGAGACUAGUGUGCUUGUCUGCCUGUGUGUGUGUGUGUUUCAACUGUGUGUGAUUGAUAGAUUGGUCUGAUGGUUUGAAAGGGAAAGUGAGUGAGGGAGAGAAAAGGCUGCGUGAGGGAGAGAGAAGGCUGCGUGAGGGAGAGAAGGCUGCGUGAGGGAGAGAAAAGGCUGCGUGAGGGAGAGAAAAGGCUGCGUGAGGGAGAGAGAAGGCUGCGUGAGGGAGGGAGAGAGGGGGAGGGAGCGAGAGUCAAGAGGUGGAGCGUUAUACGAGGGUCUCUGAACCACUGUAAUCUGAUUUAAGCUGCUUAUAGAAGAGGGGAGAGAGGGAGAGAGAGAGACCGGGAUGCUGAAAGAGAUGCAAAGAGAGAUUGGAUGCACAAUUACACUGACUAAAUCAGUGCACUUGGACUUCAAAAUGUAAGGUUUUUCCGAUCGCUUUGUUGGGAACCUUGUUGUCCAGUGAUAGUGGUUUUGGGAGAUCUAUGGAGCGAUGCUGGGAGGUUGACUGCUUUGGACUGGCAAUGUGCUGGGGCUUUCAUUCUCUCUGCUGGUUCAAUCAGGGAUGUCACCUGAGUGCUGGGAAGAUGAUCUGAAUCAAACUCUUGUUCUUGCUCAUUAGGCGGAUGAAAACCUUCACCCCUUAAACCUCCAGCCUUUUCUGACUUCUUAAGUCACUGGGAUGGUUGAUUGAAACGUUGACCUUUUUAUUCCCUGAUCGGAAUGAUGGAUUUGUACUUUGAUGGACUUUUGGUGGACUCUAACCCCUGACUUCUAAGUUAACCCCUGACAUGCUGAUAGUGUGGUGGUGUUCGGCCCUCCUGACCUACGUGUCCCUCUACCUCUCCCUGUCCUUCCUGCGUAG
RNAcentral lists this long non-coding RNA (1013 nucleotides) under Salmo salar (Atlantic salmon). Its description in RNAcentral is "lncRNA (ENSSSAG00000107915.1)". The record is from RNAcentral. Lineage: Eukaryota; Metazoa; Chordata; Actinopteri; Salmoniformes; Salmonidae.